RNAcentral lists this ribosomal RNA (253 nucleotides) under uncultured bacterium. RNAcentral describes it as "partial 16S ribosomal RNA". It matches the Rfam family "Bacterial small subunit ribosomal RNA", at positions 524 to 776 of the family's 1533-position model. The record is from RNAcentral.
UACGAAGGAUCCAAGCGUUAUCCGGAUUUAUUGGGUUUAAAGGGCGCGUAGGCGGCCCGCUAAGUCGAACGUGAAAUCCCCGAGCUCAACUCGGGAACUGCGUCCGAUACUGGCGGGCUUGAAUCCGGGAGAGGGAUGCGGAAUUCCAGGUGUAGCGGUGAAAUGCGUAGAUAUCUGGAGGAACACCGGUGGCGAAGGCGGCAUCCUGGACCGGCAUUGACGCUGAGGCGCGAAAGCUAGGGGAGCAAACGGG